This 131-nucleotide non-coding RNA is filed under the name Deinococcus proteolyticus. RNAcentral's name for it is "SAM-I sequence". It matches the Rfam family "SAM riboswitch aptamer (S box leader)". From Rfam's summary of the family: The SAM riboswitch is found upstream of a number of genes which code for proteins involved in methionine or cysteine biosynthesis in Gram-positive bacteria. The SAM riboswitch acts at the level of transcription termination control. RNAcentral also lists the same sequence under 1 other name. The record is from RNAcentral. Lineage: Bacteria; Thermotogati; Deinococcota; Deinococci; Deinococcales; Deinococcaceae.
GCCUCAUUCAGAAGCGCCCGAGAGAACUGGCUCGUUGACGGCGCGGCAACCAGGGCCUCAUUUCGCCCACGGUGCUCCGGCCAGCCUGCCGCGCAGGGUUACGAUGACCCGCCGCGCAGGACCGAUGAGGG